Molecule: long non-coding RNA, 707 nt
Filed under: Hordeum vulgare
Lineage: Eukaryota; Viridiplantae; Streptophyta; Magnoliopsida; Poales; Poaceae
Description: long non-coding RNA (HVUL_LNC011312)
Source: RNAcentral
UCCUCGCCGUCCUCUUGUUCAUCCUCUCCUGGUACGUAAUAACCAGCUAUCAAGAAACCAAAUAUACAAACUUUUCCGCGUCUAUUCUAGUCUACCACUUCACCAUACUAUUUCGGCAAAAAAUGUUUGUAUGUUUUAAAACCGCGAGUUUCAUAGGGAAUCUAUCGACAUCUGGUUAUAGGUUUGUUCACUUACAUAUUGGAAAUGAUUAUUGUGGUCUCUCCAUGCACAUAUACUUGCAGGGUCCUCGCGGUUGCAACGGUGAUAACAUUUUUGCUGGCCGCAUCGAUGGUUGGGUCUGGAGGAAUUUUUCAUAUUUACAUGGACGACGCCAACGCACCGGGUGUUUUAAUGUUCGUGGUGCCGACGGUCUUAUUUAAAAUAGUUGUCGGCCUUGACAUAGUCUCCUAUGUCCUCGUUUAGAAGGUUGGUCGCCACCAUGCUUGUGCCCUGGCCGGCGGUGAUCCUCCUCCGGUGCCAACCAUGGUGUCUAAAGUUGGUGCCCGGCCUUCUCUUCCUGCAUGUGAAAAUAAAGUCUGAGGGUAGCUUAUGCCGCUAUGGGAUGGUUGCGUUGUGUAUAUAUGCCGAUGUUUUUAUCCCUCUUUUGUCUAUUUUACUUUACUAGCAUAAAUGUAUGUGUGUUGUAACCGAAGACAUUGCUACAUGUCUCAUGCGCCAUUUAUUUUCGUCUGCUCUCCUUAUUUCCC